GUGGGGAAUCUUGCGCAAUGGGCGAAAGCCUGACGCAGCCAUGCCGCGUGAAUGAUGAAGGUCUUAGGAUUGUAAAAUUCUUUCACCGGGGACGAUAAUGACGGUACCCGGAGAAGAAGCUCCGGCUAACUUCGUGCCAGCAGCCGCGGUAAUACGAAGGGGGCUAGCGUUGCUCGGAAUUACUGGGCGUAAAGGGCGCGUAGGCGGACAGCUUAGUCAGAGGUGAAAGCCCAGGGCUCAACCUUGGAAUUGCCUUUGAUACUGGCUGUCUUGAGUUUGGGAGAGGUGAGUGUAACUCCGAGUGUAGAGGUGAAAUUCGUAGAUAUUCGGAAGAACACCAGUGGCGAAGGCGACUCACUGGCCCAAUACUGACGCUGAGGCGCGAAAGCGUGGGGAGCAAACAGGAUUAGAUACCCGGGUAGUCC
This 425-nucleotide ribosomal RNA is filed under the name uncultured bacterium. RNAcentral's name for it is "partial 16S ribosomal RNA". It matches the Rfam family "Bacterial small subunit ribosomal RNA", at positions 354 to 796 of the family's 1533-position model. The record is from RNAcentral.